UGGCCUCGCAACUGAUGCACUUUUCAUCC
RNAcentral lists this non-coding RNA (29 nucleotides) under Mus musculus (house mouse). Lineage: Eukaryota; Metazoa; Chordata; Mammalia; Rodentia; Muridae. The record is from RNAcentral.